UGCUGAGAUUACAGGCAUGAGCCACUGUGCCCGGCCCCUCUUCAAUUUUUUUCAUCUAUGUUUUAUAGAUUUCUUAAUUGUAGCCAGGGCUGACGUGUCAUUGAGAUUUUUAUUCAAUUUUUUAAACACUUUAAGUCCCACAGACAACAUCAUGUCAGGUCUUUAUGAUUUUGGAGUUUAGAUUUGGUUUCCUCCCUCUAUGAACCCUCCUUGUUAUAAAUUGAUUUUGUCACCCCCUUUCAAAUUCAUAUAUUGAAGUCCUAAUUCCUGGUACCUAAUGCGACCUUAUUUGAAAAUAAGGUCAUUGUAGAUAGAAUUAGUUAAGAUGAGGUAGGAUGGGCCCCUAAAUCAAUAUAACUGGUGUUCUUUAAAAAGUGGGAACACACACAUUCAGGGAGAACACUAUGUGAACCUAAAGGCAUAGAUUGGUAUGCAUCUACAAACCAAGAAACUCCAAAGCUUGCUGGCAGAAGCUAUAAGAAAGGGGUGGAGCAGGUUUUUCCCUCACAGCUCAUGGAAGAAACCAACAGUGCCAACAACUUGAUCCUGGACUUCCAGCCUCCAGAACUGUGAGGUAAUAAAUUUCUGUUGCUUAAACCACUCAGCAUGUGGUAUUUCAUGAUGUCAACCCUAAGAAACUAACACUAAUACACUUUCUUCACAGUUGUGCCAGAAAAUUGUCUCAUUAGCUGAUUAGUGACUCCCUUAUUAUUUCUGCUUUUGUACAUUGAGUGGGAAUAUUUGCAUAUCAUUGAUGCCAGAAUCUAUCCUUCAAAAUGAUGGCCAUUUUAAAAAUGGAUAAUAUCUUUAAGCAUUGCCUUGCCCUUCCAAAAGGUGAAAAAAAAGUGAGGCUUGGUAAGGAGGACAAGAUCUGCUAAAACUUGCCAUUAAAAAAUAUUAUAGCAGAUCUCUGGAUACGUUCCAGUAUUAAAACACAUUUGACAGAAAUAUGAGAAAUGAGAGACCAUACUACCAAUGUCAUUCUAUCAAUGUCUUUAAGAUGAGAGCAAAGAAGCAAGAGGAUCAAGGAGGAAAAUAAUAAAGAAUCCUUGCUAUCAAGCAGAAAGGGGAUUGGCCUUGAUCAGUGGGAAAGUUAAAAAGGGCCACAAAAUUAAACUGCUCCUUAAAAAAUAGAAAAGGAGAUAAUGAAGUCAAGGGAAAAGCAACAUUAGUAUCUGGAUUUAAUUCAUGACCUUCUUAGUCCUAGGAGAAUUUGGGCCAGGAGAAUUUCCUAAUCAGCAGCUGCACUCCCCACUUCUAGUUCUCUGGGCCACAUUUGACAAAUGUAGAUCUGAAACUUUAAUAUGGAUGAGAAUCACCAGAGGUCUUCUAAAACAGAUUGCUGUCUCUCUUCCCACUGCACCCCAUAGUUGCCAUUUCAUAGGUCUGGAGUGGGGUCCCAAUAACUUGCAUUUUUAAUGAGUUCCCAGGUAAUGCUGAUGCUGCUGAUCUGGGGGCAAUACUUUAAGAACCACUGGACUGUAACAAUGUCAAACCUGCCUGAUGAGAAGAAUCACCUGGAAGGUUUAAAAAAAUGCAAAAUCCUCGGCCCCAUGCCAGACUUUCUGACUCAACCUCCAGGGAAGAGCCUAAAAUUUUCUAUUUCAACAAUCCUGCCUGAUUAAUAUGAUUAGCAAGAAUUUGUUUGUACCAGCUCUAUGCCAUACACCGUGAUAGACACACCAGACGUGGAAGUGAGAAAUAUGGUUCCCAUCUUGGAUAGCAAAGAAGAUGGACAAAUAAACCAACAAAUUAAACACAGAAAAACGUUUUCUAAAGGAAGGAGGUUUCUUGAAGGAAGUGGUACUUCUGUUGAAAUAUGAAAGAUGAGUGAGGGUUAGUCACAUACAGAAAGGGAGAAGGGAGUAUCCAAUGUAGAUAGAACAGCAUAUGAAAAGCACAGAGAUGUGAGAGAGCAGGUAGGCAUUGCUGUAAAUCCAGGUGGAUGUAAAAAAAAUCAGAGCCUUGCAGGAACUAGGUUGUAGAAAGCUCUGUGGACUAAGUUUAGUUGGUUUAACUUUAUCCUAAAAGUCACAGGAAAAUAUUAAAGAUGUUUAAAAAAGAAAAAAAAGCAGAUUUUCAUUUUAUUAACAAAACAUAACUCUGGCAGCAGGUGUGGAAAAUGGAUGGAGGGGCCAGGACCAGAAGAAAGACACCUGUUACUGAAGCAAUGCAGAUGGGAAAUGAUGGAGACCUAGAUGUAGACCAUGCCAGCAAAGACGGAGGGGCAGAAUUGAGUAAUACUUGUAGAACUAAUGUAACUUACAGGAUGAUUAGAUACAUAGAAAGGAGACUAACUCAAUCCUUUAUUUUUCUUCCUUUUUCAAAAGUUUUUUUAAGACUAUAUUACUAUCUUUUCCCCAUUCCCUCCAUACUUAAUAUGACAGUUAGCUAAUUUUACUUGAAUACCUAUGUCUUAUUCUUUACCAACACCAUCAAGCAGCAGCAUCUCCCUACCACCACCACAACAAGCAGCAAGUGUUUAUGGAGCACCUCUUAAUAAAUUAUCCUUUGUCUUGUUUUGUGACAAAUUUACAUUCCUCUCUGCUUUACUUUUGCUUUAUCCUGUAUUUUUCAUUGUUCUGUGGUUUAGCGUGUAUUUUCUUCUGCUCUUCCAGGACCAUAGGAUUUCAGAGCUUGUUACUUAAGUUCUCAGGUUUUUGAUAUGUACUUGGAAUUUUAUUUUUUACUACUUUCUCAAAGUAAUGCUCCACAAAUAUUUCUUAUGUAAUUCCAAUGCAUCUAAAGAGAUUUAGCAUUUGAGUUUUAUGUUAAACCAAUAAACUGAUUAAAGCCAUAAUUAGCAAUCACCAACUUUUAUCUGGAAAUAAACUGAAAACUAUUAUUCACU
Molecule: long non-coding RNA, 2851 nt
Filed under: Homo sapiens (human)
Lineage: Eukaryota; Metazoa; Chordata; Mammalia; Primates; Hominidae
Description: HSALNT0293083
Source: RNAcentral